AUCCAAAUGACGAAUCCCAAAUAGGACGAAAUGCGCAUCCUGAAU
This is a non-coding RNA of Trichobilharzia regenti, 45 nucleotides long. Lineage: Eukaryota; Metazoa; Platyhelminthes; Trematoda; Strigeidida; Schistosomatidae. The record is from Rfam.